RNAcentral lists this ribosomal RNA (503 nucleotides) under uncultured bacterium. RNAcentral's name for it is "bacterial SSU rRNA". It matches the Rfam family "Bacterial small subunit ribosomal RNA", at positions 15 to 507 of the family's 1533-position model. The record is from RNAcentral.
GAUCCUGGCUCAGAGUGAACGCUGGCGGCAGGCCUAAUACAUGCAAGUCGAACGGCAGCACAGCAGAGCUUGCUCUGUGGGUGGCGAGUGGCGGACGGGUGAGGAAUACAUGGGAAUCUGCCCAGUCGUGGGGGAUAACGUAGGGAAACUUACGCUAAUACCGCAUGCGCCCUUCGGGGGAAAGCCGGGGACCUUCGGGCCUGGCGCGAUUGGAUGAGCCCAUGUCGGAUCAGCUAGCUGGCGGGGUAAUGGCCCACCAAGGCGACGAUCCGUAGCUGGUCUGAGAGGAUGAUCAGCCACACUGGAACUGAGACACGGUCCAGACUCCUACGGGAGGCAGCAGUAGGGAAUAUUGGACAAUGGGCGCAAGCCUGAUCCAGCCAUGCCGCGUGAGUGAAGAAGGCCCUCGGGUUGUAAAGCUCUUUUGUCCGGAAAGAAAAGCGCCGGGUUAAUACCCUGGUGUCCUGACGGUACCGGAAGAAUAAGCACCGGCUAACUUCGUG